UCCGUAGGGGGACCUGCGGAGGGAUCAUUACUGAGUUUACGCUCUACAACCCUUUGUGAACAUACCUAUAACUGUUGCUUCGGCGGGUAGGGUCUCCGCGACCCUCCCGGCCUCCCGCCCCCGGGCGGGUCGGCGCCCGCCGGAGGAUAACCAAACUCUGAUUUAACGACGUUUCUUCUGAGUGGUACAAGCAAAUAAUCAAAACUUUUAACAACGGAUCUCUUGGUUCUGGCAUCGAUGAAGAACGCAGCGAAAUGCGAUAAGUAAUGUGAAUUGCAGAAUUCAGUGAAUCAUCGAAUCUUUGAACGCACAUUGCGCCCGCCAGCAUUCUGGCGGGCAUGCCUGUUCGAGCGUCAUUUCAACCCUCAAGCUCUGCUUGGUGUUGGGGCCCUACAGCCGAUGUAGGCCCUCAAAGGUAGUGGCGGACCCUCCCGGAGCCUCCUUUGCGUAGUAACUUUACGUCUCGCACUGGGAUCCGGAGGGACUCUUGCCGUAAAACCCCCCAAUUUUCCAAAGGUUGACCUCGGAUCAGGUAGGAAUACCCGCUGAACUUAAGCAUAUCAAUAGCGGAGGA
Molecule: ribosomal RNA, 574 nt
Filed under: Colletotrichum gloeosporioides
Lineage: Eukaryota; Fungi; Ascomycota; Sordariomycetes; Glomerellales; Glomerellaceae
Description: eukaryotic LSU rRNA
Rfam family: 5.8S ribosomal RNA (bases 203-356)
Source: RNAcentral